Non-coding RNA from Salvia hispanica, 931 nucleotides. The record is from RefSeq and is a predicted model, not a curated record. NCBI's taxonomy places the organism in Eukaryota, Viridiplantae, Streptophyta, Magnoliopsida, Lamiales, Lamiaceae.
AUUACUCCCUUUCCAAAACACACGACAGCUCCCAAAAAACAAAAAAAAAUCAAAAUUGAAAAGAAGUAAAGGAGAAAUGUAAUCCAUUUUCACCUUAAAACAUACACCCCAAAUAUUUAAAGCAUAAACAAUUGAGAAUCAAAUUCCCUUUUCAAAAUAAGAUACCGUCGGCUCUCUCUCCCAGAAUCGCAACACCAAAAGACCAGAAAAAAGUUAGAGCUCCGUUGCUUUCUCCAAAUCACCGCUGCACCGGAGUCGACGCCACUGCUGACUCCGAUUCGUCGCCCGCACCCACCGCCGUAGCAGCCGCUGCGUCGCCUCUCCAGCGGUCUCGACUUCAUCCGAAGCAGCCCCGUUUCCACCCCGAUUAACCCCGCAGAUAAGUUCUUAGUUUGAUUUUGUGAAAUAAUGUUCGAUUCUUUGAUUUAUGUUGUUCUAAUUAGAGUUUUGCUACGGUUACUGGUUUCAUGAGAUGCACAAAUAUGGGAUUGGAUUUGGGUGGGGAAAGUGUAUACCUGCAACAAUUUGGGACGAGUUGCUGUAAACAAAAGAGGUUGGGGUGAAGAGAUGAGGGAGCGUGAGACGUGGGAGGGGAGUAAUUUUGGUGUUUGAUUUGCUUAAAGAGGAAAAUCACGGUAGAGGGGAAGAUACCUGCAAUUAGGCCUGCUUAAUCGGUUCUCCGGUUCUCGGGUACCCGGAACCAGAACCGAGACCGACCGGGUAAUUGAGGAACCGGGAACCGGAGAACCGGUUCCGGUUCCGGUACCGGUUCUAGUAUUUUUCAAACUUUUCGGUUCCGGUUCUACCCGGAACCGACCGGUUCUUACCCGGAACCGGAUAAUAUAUUAAUUUCAGAUUUUUAAUUUUAGUUUUAAUAAAAUUUAAUAUUUUUACUUAAAUAAAAGUAAUCCUAUUCCUAACUUCCUAGCCA